GACGAACGCUGGCGGCGUGCUUAACACAUGCAAGUCGAACGGAAAGGCCCUGCUUUUGUGGGGUGCUCGAUUGGCGAACGGGUGAGUAACACGUGAGUAACCUGCCCUUGACUUUGGGAUAACUUCAGGAAACUGGGGCUAAUACCGGAUAGGAGCUCCUGCUGCAUGGUGGGGGUUGGAAAGUUUCGGCGGUUGGGGAUGGACUCGCGGCUUAUGAGCUGGUUGGUGGGGUAGUGGUUUCCCAAGGCUGUGACGGGUAGCCGGCAUGAGAGGGUGAACGGGGACCUUGGGACUGAGGUAGGGCGCAGACGCGUACGGGAGGCAGCGGGGGGGAGUCUUGCGCAGUGGGGGGACGCGUGAUGCGGCGGCGCUGCGUGCGGGAUGCCGGCCUUCGGGUUGUGAACCGCUGUCGCCGGUGACGAGGCGUGAGUGACGGUACUGGGUAAGGAAGCACCGGCUAACUACGUG
This 468-nucleotide ribosomal RNA is filed under the name uncultured bacterium. RNAcentral's name for it is "partial 16S ribosomal RNA". It matches the Rfam family "Bacterial small subunit ribosomal RNA", at positions 28 to 507 of the family's 1533-position model. The record is from RNAcentral.